AUUGAGACGAGAGGUAUUUCUUCUAGGGUGUGGGCAAUAUUUGAUGACGUCGAAAGAUUUUGCUGCAGGUUUGUUGUGUCUGUUGUAGGCUUGCAGUAGUCCAUGGCUUAUAACAUGGACAAUAGCGACAGACCUUUGACUGCCAAAGAAAAGCGACAAGAGCAGCUAAAACGCUGGGAAAAUUCAGCUACAGACUCGGAAAGUAGCAUUUUAAACAAUUACAAGCCGAAAGUUAAGUUCCACGAUGGAGCAGUAUUUCUUGCUGCUUGCUCAAGUGGAGACCUGGAUGAAGUUCAAGCUUUGUUAGAUAAAGGCGCGGAUAUCAACUUUGCAAAUGUAGAUGGACUUACUGCUUUACAUCAGGCUUGCAUUGAUGAUAAUCUUGAUGUGGUGGAGUUCUUGGUGGAACAUGGAACUGAUAUUGAUCAGGAGGACAAUGAAGGUUGGACUCCACUUCAUGCGGCUGCAUCAUGCGGAUUCAUGGAUAUAGCAAGAUAUCUGGUUGACAACCAUGCAAAUGUUGCGGCUGUUAAUAGUGAAGGGGAAGUCCCUCUUGACAUUGCAGAAGAAGAUGACAUGGUGGAAUUCCUGCAAAAACAAAUAGAUAACCAAGGGUUGGACAUUGAAGCUGCUCGUAAUGAAGAACAAGAGAUUAUGAUAGCUGAUGCAAAACAACAUCUUAAUUCUAUUCACAAUGGUGAUCAAUCCUCAAUAUACAGACACCCUAAAUCUGGGGCAACUGCCUUGCAUGUUGCUGCCGCUAAAGGAUACAUUGAUGUUAUUAGACUUCUUCUUCAAUCUGGUAUGGAUGUUAACCUUCGUGAUAACGAUGGUUGGACUCCACUUCACGCUGCAUCUCAUUGGUCACAACAGGAAGCAGCCAAACUUUUAUCAGAUCGAGGAGCAAAUUUUCUUUCUAGAAGCAAUCUGGGUCAAACACCGUGUGAUGUCGCAGAUGAAGACAUGCUGGAAUAUAUGAGAGAAUUACAAAAAGAAAACCGAGCGCAGAUGAAAGAAAGUGAACUCAUCAACCCUCUUCCGACCAACACUAUCACUAAUAAAACGUUUGAAAUUCAUCAACAAAUUGACAUCCAUGAAACGAAGCGUGAAUUCAACGAGGUUCAUGAUAAUGAUGUGGGUGUUGCUCACAUUAGUGCUGCCGAAAAAGCUUUCAACCGCGACACGUUAAUGAGUUCAUCCUCCGAUUCCGAAGAUGACUCCACAUCAUCAAGUGAAGUGACAUCAUCAAAACUUACUGAGAAACAAAGCAAACUCGAUAAUGACUUCAUCACUGAUAAAAUUGGGUCACGUACUGACAUCCAAGAUACUUCAUCUCUGACUUACAGUAGCUCUGGGAGCAAUGUCCGGAGUACAACAGGAUUUGCUGGUCGGAGAGUAACGAGACCUGCAUCACUUCACAUAUCAUCAACAUCCGCAAACAAAGAUGUUCGUCCAACUAUUAUGAGCGCACAUGAAUUAUCAUCCACACGACCCAUAGCCACCACUCAACCCAUACAAACACCGAAAAGCAAUGGACCAGAUGCAGCUGUAGUAACACCAACAGAAAGAAACAGUGAUAUAAAAGAUGGCGCUCCUUCAACUUGGAGAUUAGGUUUAAGAAAAACUGGAAGUUUUGAUGAAAAGAUGAGGAUGGGUCGUCCUCCCACGGGAUCUGCUUCCCGUGGUUCACAGAAUGAUAUUGAUCGUUCUGCUUCGUAUAACGUCAGUAAAACACAGGAAGAACAGAAGUCAAGCAAGAGUGAAACACGCACAGCACGAGUUGCUCCAAUAAUCGACGCACGACUGCCAUCAAGCAAGUCAAGAAACACUUCCGCAGAUGAAAACGAGCCGGCCAGUAGUUUCCAAAGAAGUGGUUCAUAUAGAAGAUAUGCCAACGAAUCAACUUCUACAUUUUCAACGGCCACACCAAUUUCAUAUAAACGCAGUGAGAGGUCACGAACAUACAGCCAACCUGUAACUAUGGAUGGCAACUCGCCUCAUGCCACAAAACAUGGAUCGCUUGUCAAGAAAUAUUUGUCAAACUUUAAAAGUGAGGGUGGUGUGAAGGCAGGAGUUCAUCGUCAGCAUAGUUGUUCAUCACCACAUAAGCCAUCCAAUCGUCUGCAUCGCUCGCGUUCGCUCGAUCUACCUUCUAAUGAGGCCGACCAAAUUUCAAAUUUAAUUCGUCUUCGAUACCAGAAACUUGUCAAUAAAUAUAGAGAACCUGAUGCAAGCAAUAAACCAAACGAAGCAACUAGUGUGGAAGAAGCUGCAGAUACAAGUGAACAAACUAAUGCAGCUAUUGACAUACGGCCAGACAGAAGAAGAUCACAUCUUCAACCUGUCCGAGAUGAAGAAGCGGAAGCUCAAAGGAAAGCGAGGUCAAGGAGGGAGAGACAAACCCGACGAUCUACACAAGGAGUUACUUUGGAUGUGUUUGAAGAGGCAAAACGUACGAUUGACCAUAUGAAACAAGAACGAAGUGAAAACGCAUCAUCAUCAGUUAGCAAACAAACUGAUGCUUCAGAUUUAAGUGUAAAUAAUGAUCUUGGAAGAAUCCCACACGUUGAUUCGAUGGCAACAAACCACAGACGAUUCAACAGCAGUGCUUCCAGUUCAUCUAACAGUCCACGCACGGUCACACUGCCAUCUGGUUAUAUACCAUCCAACGAACGUGUGCGCAACACUGCCAAGACAGCACCAAUCACAACAGUGAUUCCAAGUAUUAAUAUCGACGCAGGAGAUGAAAAACAAGAUCCUCAAAAACAAGAUGAUGAUAAUGCAGAUGAGGGGAAUUCCCUAACCCCAGGGGGUCAAUCGCCUUCUGCUCGUAAAUCUGCAGCUCAACAAAGAAGAAGGCAACGUAAAGAGCGACGAUCGACCGGUCUUCCUGGUUUGAAACCGUCUGAAACAACGAAUACCGAUAACCAAAGUGAUGAUGAAGAAACAUUUAAAAAUGACACAGAAGUCAUGGAUGACGAAAAGGCCGAGCGUUUAAAGUCAACGGCUGCACGCUACGAUUCAUCCUCGUUACCUGAUCGUCACACAAGACAUAGAGCUGGUAUAAGAGGUAGCGAUAAUGAUCUUCCUUCACGUUUCGCAAUUCCUGUUGAUGAUAGAAAAACUGACGAUAAAGAUUAUAAAAAGAUGUAUCAGGAUUCGCGUGAUGAGAACGACCGUCUCCAGAGCGAGCUUGCUGAAGCGAAACGACGUGUCACCGAGCUUGAGGCUAGGUUAGAACGUGCUGAUGACGUCACAGCUCGUCGGAAAGCGGUGGAGAGCGAGAAGAGAUCGCUGGAGAAAAAGCUGGCCGAGGCUGAGAAGGAAUUAAUGAAUUCACCCAGUCUGGAUUCCUUACGUGCCAAAAACGUAGAGCUCCAGCAAGAAAACCAGGCCUUAACUCGACUGGUUAACAAACUAGGUUCCAAUGAAGUUGGUCCUCCCACAUUAUCACUUGUUGAUAGUUUCGCCAGUGGAUCAAGUGAUGUUGGCACGGAGAACAAACCUAAUGAUGAAGUGAUAGCCUCAGCGUCAACGAAGAAAUCUUACGUGGACGAAGUCCCUCCACGUAGAUCUUCGUAUACUAAAUAUGGUUCAGAUACAUUUUCAACUGCAUCCUCAUCCCGAGAUCAAUCUCCUGCAUCCAGAUCUUCAUCCUCGUAUAAAAGUGGUUCAUACGGAGAUGGCUCACGUCGGGCUCUCGGGAUGACCAAAUCUUCCUCCGCUGUUGACAACACAAGUUGGACAAGACCUUCGUAUCGAAGUUCAAGUUUAAAAGACAAACACUCGAGCACAUAUUCAAAAUUCUCCACUCCACCAAGCUAUACGACAUCAACUUCACGAAGUCACUACAACUCACUUCCUCCAAGCAGUCCAGUACUAAACCGAUCAAAAUUAACAUCAAGCAAGUCAUCAGCAUAUCCGUCCUCUAAAACCGACUCUUACUCGAGUUACAAACCUCGUACUUACGACCAGUUAUCUAAGAAUCGUUCAAGUAACUUCCCAACUUCUGCAAAUUCAAAACGAGUGGGAAAUUUAAUGGAAACAUACCGUUCGACUUCCAUAAAGCCGUAAUGUUCAUCUAGCGUCGACUGCCGGACGUCAAAUGUUGAGGCUUCACCUGACAUUUCGAAGCAGUCGACGCUUUUCACCAGCAGCCAAGGUGAUGGCGGACCUUAAAUCCGACAACCAGCGGCUCAAAGACGAAAAUGGAGCUCUCAUCCGUGUUAUAAGCAAGCUCUCCAAGUGACCUCAUUCUCUCACCUCGCCACAAUUUGCCGCAGGAUGGCGCCAUCGCUAAUCGAAUGUUCGAGAACAACGAUCCUGUGUCGUGAUUGGCCAGGAUCUGUCAAGAGUGUUGGUGAUAUGUUUAAAUAAGAGAAAAACACGCCGAACACUUGAGUAUACAGCAAGUACACCGCCAUAAAUAUCUAAAUUAUAUCAAGUGAAAUACUCGGUUGUUUAUAAAGAUGUUGGAUAACAUUGUAUUGCCAAUGUAUUGGUAGGCACGUUACAAGUUGUAUGAAUGCGGUAUUCUUUGCACGUUAGCGCACGACUAGUAAGGAUUAACAGAAUACACGAUCCUCGAAUAGCUAUGUCACGGUUGAAUAUUACACACAGUAUACGGUGCUUGCCUGUUAUUCACCAAUAUCUCUCGUACAAGUUAACACUUGUCAAUAAAGUGGACAAGUGAUUAAUCGGACCACUCAGGUAGUUCAAACGCACGCAGUAUGUACGUUAUGUAUUAGCAGUACGUUUCAACCGAGGCUUGUUCUUUUUAUCUUUACAAAAAAGUGAUUUUCUUUUUCUGUUGUCACGUUUAUUAAACGGCUGAAAAUUCCGACUAAGCCUAAGUGCCUCACGAAUUCAAUCAAUUUACUCUUCAAACCAGCACAACACACUUACAUACGGUUAAAGAUGUUUUCAGCUGUAAACUCCACGCUUACCACUUCACCGCUGGCUGCACCUCACACAAAAAAACCUUUGCGUUUUUAAUUGUUGCAACCUUCGUCAUAGUACAGCUAUGUAGCAUCACUUGCUGAUAAAACGGGGAAUUUUCAGUUUUAUUUUUUUCCAUUAUACAUGGGUUCAGUUAUAAGCUCUAUCUGUUUUCUUUCGAUUUUGAUCGUUACUACUAUUCUCUUAUUGACAACUUUCUCAAAUUUAAAAUGAUCGCAUUGAACAUUUAAAUUGAUUGGUUGUUUAAAUGAUUUUUUUUGCAAUUCGUUGCUUGCGUUUUUGUGCUUUUAUUCUUGGUCCUAGUGACUAUACGAAUAAACCUCUACUAAGGUCA
Non-coding RNA from Ciona intestinalis (vase tunicate), 5293 nucleotides. The record is from RefSeq and is a predicted model, not a curated record. Lineage: Eukaryota; Metazoa; Chordata; Ascidiacea; Phlebobranchia; Cionidae.